RNAcentral lists this ribosomal RNA (268 nucleotides) under uncultured prokaryote. RNAcentral describes it as "partial 16S ribosomal RNA". It matches the Rfam family "Bacterial small subunit ribosomal RNA", at positions 524 to 791 of the family's 1533-position model. The record is from RNAcentral.
UACGUAGGUGGCAAGCGUUAUCCGGAAUUAUAGGGCGUAAAGAGCGCGCAGGUGGUUGAUUAAGUCUGAUGUGAAAGCCCACGGCUUAACCGUGGAGGGUCAUUGGAAACUGGUCGACUUGAGUGCAGAAGAGGGAAGUGGAAUUCCAUGUGUAGCGGUGAAAUGCGUAGAGAUAUGGAGGAACACCAGUGGCGAAGGCGGCUUCCUGGUCUGUAACUGACACUGAGGCGCGAAAGCGUGGGGAGCAAACAGGAUUAGAUACCCCGUA